UAGCUGGACUUGUAAAGGCUUUACCACACUCAUAACAUUCAAAGGGUUUCUCUCCAGUGUGAGUUCUCUCAUGU
This is a non-coding RNA of Arvicanthis niloticus (Nile rat), 74 nucleotides long. The record is from RefSeq and is a predicted model, not a curated record. Lineage: Eukaryota; Metazoa; Chordata; Mammalia; Rodentia; Muridae.